UCCUACGGGGGGCAGCAGUGGGGAAUAUUGGGCAAUGGGCGCAAGCCUGACCCAGCAACGCCGCGUGAAGGAUGAAGGUUUUCGGAUUGUAAACUUCUGUCGCGAGGGACGAAGAAUGACGGUACCUCGUAAGAAAGCCCCGGCUAACUACGUGCCAGCAGCCGCGGUAAUACGUAGGGGGCAAGCGUUGUCCGGAAUGACUGGGCGUAAAGGGAGUGUAGGCGGCUUAUCAAGUUAGAUGUGAAAUCCCGCGGCUUAACCGCGGAACUGCAUCUAAAACUGGUGAGCUGGAGUGCAGGAGAGGG
RNAcentral lists this ribosomal RNA (305 nucleotides) under uncultured bacterium. RNAcentral's name for it is "bacterial SSU rRNA". It matches the Rfam family "Bacterial small subunit ribosomal RNA", at positions 337 to 658 of the family's 1533-position model. The record is from RNAcentral.